UACGUCUGUAGUCAGCACUUCAUUACAGGUAUGACAACGUUAUUCACACAAUAACAGUGUUAAAUUGUUUCGUAGUUAACAUGAAUGUUCAAUUACUAGUUUUAAGAGAAGUUAACUAACUACUACGUUAUGCAGGCUACCUUGCUUGAGUAUACAAAAACACAGCUAUGCUAACAACACUGGUGGUAGCUUCCGAGCUUUCUGCAGUUAAAAUGUAUUUCACCCCCUUCUAUCCCCUUCUCAUUUCGUUUGUGAACUGUCUUGCCCUAGGCUUAAAAAACGAGGACAUAGCCCACCCAGACUACACACCCUCGCUGUUCCCACAUAAAAAGACAAAGUCUCCCAGGUCAGUACUUCAGAGACUGGAGAGAAGGAGGAAGCGUGAGGGUGUUCAGUCUGCCCAACCAGAAUCCCCAACAUCAGAAGGCCCGGCACCAGAAUCCCCAACAUCAGAAGCUCCCAUACCUCUUCAGGAGUUAAAGAGAAAACAACUUUAUGAAGAAUUGUAUAAUUUAAGAAGAGAAAGAGAUGAGGCCAUGAAGGAGCGAGCUGAAGCCAUCAGAGAAUUGGAGACGUUGAAAAUGUCGGUAAACACUGAGAGAAAAUGACACCAAAUGUAAAGUCAUGACAGGCCUGUCAUGGACAGUAUUUGACACUCUUCAUCAGUACCUGGUACAGUUUGUUAAGUCACAGAAAACAUCCAAGAUGUCAACACAAGACCAGCUCUUUAUUACUCUGGUGAAACUGCGGCAGAACCCCUCAACCGAUAUGAUGUGUGGAAUAUUUGACCUGGCACAUAGAUAUAGCACUUUCCUGGAUGUAUUCUCCCGAUGGUUGGAUUUUAUGUACGCCAACAUUUCUUUUUUGAUUAAAUGGCCUGAUAGAGUGUAUCGGAAGCACAGUACCAGCAGAGGUUCUCUUCCAGUACCCUAGAGUGACUGCAAUUAUCGACUGCUUUGAGAUCAGAAUUGAACACUCAAAGAAGCUGAAAACAAGAGCUAUCACCUACUCAAAAUACAAAAACUGGACAACAGUGAAGUAUUUCAUUGCAUGUCACCCAUCUGGCUCAAUCACAUAUCUCUCCAAAGGCUGGGGAGGGAGGGCUUCAGAUGUGCAUAUUGUAAGGAACUCAGACUUCUUAUCUCAGAAGUUCCACCAUGCAGGAGAUCAGAUUUUAGCCGACAGGGGCUUCACUUUGAAGGAUGACUUUGCUGUUCUGGGUGCACAGCUCAUCACACCGUCUUUCACGAGGGGCCGAAAACAACUGUCAGCCGAAGAUGUUGCGAUCUGUGGUCUGCAGAGAGAGUCAUUGGGGCCCUGAAGAGCCGGUACCACAUUCUGGAUGGCCCACUUCCUCUGCGCCUGGUGAAGAGACUGCAGGGUGAGAGACAGAAGAGAGAAGAGGCCAUGAUGGAUAGGAUUGUGCAUGUCUGUGCAGCACUAAUGAACCUGUCUGGCAGUGUCAUGUACAACCGUUACAGAAUCUGAGAGUCCCUGAACUGAUCUCAGUGCUGCUCUGCUGCUGCACACCCUGUCGCCCUGCCUCUGAUGCCUGUCGCCCUGCCUCUGAUGCCUGUCGCCCUGCCUCUGAUGCCUGACGCUCUGCCUCUGAUGCCUGACGCUCUGCCUCUG
Long non-coding RNA from Gymnodraco acuticeps, 1632 nucleotides. RefSeq lists it as uncharacterized. Lineage: Eukaryota; Metazoa; Chordata; Actinopteri; Perciformes; Bathydraconidae. The transcript has 4 exons. The record is from RefSeq and is a predicted model, not a curated record.